Molecule: ribosomal RNA, 402 nt
Filed under: uncultured bacterium
Lineage: Bacteria
Description: partial 16S ribosomal RNA
Rfam family: Bacterial small subunit ribosomal RNA
Source: RNAcentral
AUUGAACGCUGGCGGCAGGCCUAACACAUGCCAGUCGAGCGAGCGGCGGACGGGUGAGUAAUGUAUGGGGACUGCCCGAUAGAGGGGGAUAACUACUGGAAACGGUGUCUAAUACCGCAUACUAUCGGAUAACCAAUAUGGGAUUAGCUAGUAGGUGGGGUAAAGGCCCACCUAGGCGACGAUCUCUAGCUGGUAUGAGAGGCGGAGCAGCCACACUGGGGCUGGGACAGGGCCCAGCCCCCUACGGAGGCAGCAGUGGGGACUAUUGCACAGGGGGCGCAAGCCUGAUGCAGCCAUGCCGCGUGUAUGAAGAAGGCCUUAGGGUUGUAAAGUACUUUCAGCGGGGAGGGGUUACCCGCAGAAGAAGCACCGGCUAACUCCGUGCCAGCCGCCGCGUAAUAC